GUGCACCAGGCGAGAAUUUUUGACAAUGGGGGAAACCCUGAUCGAGCGACGCCGCGUGGAGGAUGAAGGUCUUCGGAUUGUAAACUCCUGUCAUUGGGGAACAAGGUGCAUACGUUAACUGCGUGUGUAUUGAUAGUACCCGAAGAGGAAGGGACGGCUAACUCUGUGCCAGCAGCCGCGGUAAUACAGAGGUCCCAAGCGUUGUUCGGAUUCAUUGGGCGUAAAGGGUGCGUAGGCGGCGCGGUAAGUCGGGUGUGAAAUCUCGGAGCUUAACUCCGAAACUGCAUUCGAUACUGCCGUGCUUGAGGACUGGAGAGGAGACUGGAAUUUACGGUGUAGCGGUGAAAUGCGUAGAUAUCGUAAGGAAGACCAGUGGCGAAGGCGGGUCUCUGGACAGUUCCUGACGCUGAGGCACGAAGGCCAGGGGAGCAAACGGGAUUAGAUACCCCUGUAGU
RNAcentral lists this ribosomal RNA (455 nucleotides) under uncultured organism. RNAcentral describes it as "bacterial SSU rRNA". It matches the Rfam family "Bacterial small subunit ribosomal RNA", at positions 346 to 794 of the family's 1533-position model. The record is from RNAcentral.